CGCACAUUGCGCCCCUCGGUAUUCCGUGGGGCAUGCCUGUUCGAGCGUCAUUUACACCCUCAAGCACUGCUUGGUGUUGGGCGUCUGUCCCGCCUUCGGGCGCGGACUCGCCUCAAAGCGAUUGGCGGCUGGUGCCACGGCCUGGAGUGCAGCAGAAUUGCGCUCCUCGCCCGCGGCCUGGCUCCCAGAAGCGAAUCUAUUUCACUUGUUUGACCUCGAAUCAGGUAGGGAUACCCGCUGAACUUAA
This 247-nucleotide unclassified non-coding RNA is filed under the name Teichosporaceae sp. RNAcentral describes it as "partial contains 5.8S ribosomal RNA, internal transcribed spacer 2, and large subunit ribosomal RNA". The record is from RNAcentral. Lineage: Eukaryota; Fungi; Ascomycota; Dothideomycetes; Pleosporales; Teichosporaceae.